CCCCUAGAUGUUCUGGGCCGCACGCGCGCUACACUGAACAGUUCAACAAGUCUUAACCUUGGCCGAUAGGUCUGGGUAAUCUUUGAACGCUGUUCGUGAUUGGGAUAGACCUUUGCAAUUAUGGGUCUUCAACGAGGAAUUCCUAGUAAACGCAAGUCAUCAGCUUGCAUUGAUUACGUCCCUGCCCUUUGUACACACCGCCCGUCGCACCUACCGAUUGAAUGGUCCGGUGAAAUCUCGGGACGGCGGGUUGGUCGCUUGCGUCCGACUGCUGAAACUUGAUUAAACCAUAUCAUUUAGAGGAAGGUGAAGUCGUAACA
Molecule: ribosomal RNA, 320 nt
Filed under: uncultured eukaryote
Lineage: Eukaryota
Description: partial 18S ribosomal RNA
Rfam family: Eukaryotic small subunit ribosomal RNA
Source: RNAcentral